GAUGAAGAACGUAGCGAAAUGCGAUAAGUAAUGUGAAUUGCAGAAUUCAGUGAAUCAUCGAAUCUUUGAACGCACAUUGCGCCCCUUGGUAUUCCGAGGGGCAUGCCUGUUCGAGCGUCAUUAUAACCCCUCAAGCUCAGCUUGGUGUUGGGGCCUGCUGCACUGGCAGCCCUUAAAAUCAGUGGCGGCGCCAUCUGGCCCUAAGCGUAGUAAUUCUUCUCGCUAUGGAGUCCUGGUGGAUGCUUGCCAUCAACCCCCAAUUUUUCUAUGGUUGACCUCGGAUCAGGUAGGGAUACCCGCUGAACUUAAGCAUAUCAAUAAGCGGAGGA
Molecule: unclassified non-coding RNA, 329 nt
Filed under: soil metagenome
Description: partial contains 5.8S ribosomal RNA, internal transcribed spacer 2, and large subunit ribosomal RNA
Rfam family: 5.8S ribosomal RNA (bases 1-120)
Source: RNAcentral